CAUCAUAAUCUCAUCAAUAUCAAUUGGCCACUGAGAGAGAUCAGGUGAAAUUCAAAUAAAAAGUAUCCAAUUCAUAAGAUCAACUAAUCAAUCACGCACCUAAAUAUGUGAGUAGAUUUUAAGUCGAAUUGAAAUAAGCUAGCAACAACAUAAUUGUGCAUCCUAUUUUAGAUUCAUUCUUCAAUCUGUCUGUUGUUUUCGCAUAAAGCCCGAAGUCGAAGAAGGUGAAGAGUCUCGCAUCUUCAGGAAAAAUUUUGGCACUGUCUACUACUGGGAAGAAGAAAGAGAAAGAUGGUGAUUAUGAUCCAAGGUAGAUUUCAAGUUCUUAGAGUAGUUUAGAUUUUUUUUUUUCUAUUUUUGGAUGUUUUCAGUUUAUCAGAGUAUUUAUUUCAUGUUUUUAGGGUUUGUGUUUCAGUUUUUGUUGUUUUAUACACAUGUUUUCAGUUGUUGUUGUUUUAUACACAUGUUUUUCAGUUGAUAUUUAUAUUCUUUCAGUUGAUUAUAGUAUUCUUUCAGUUGCUACUUGUAUUCUUUCAGUUGAUGUUGUUUUCAAUUGAUAUUUAUAUUCCUUCAGUUGAUUCUUUUAUUGUUUCAGUUGAUUCUAGUAUUGUUUCAGUUGCUUCUUAUAUUCUUUCAGUUGAUUUUGUUUUAUUUCAUUUAGACAUUUCUACCUUUCUUUUGGUGUUUUUCAUUUGUUUUUCUUUACUUUUUUUUAAAAAAUAAAGAUGUGUUACUGAAAAAUGAAAAGUGUAACUGAAAAAUGAAGUAGUGUAACUGAAACAAUGUAAAUUGUAACUGAAUAUUUUUAGUCUCAUUGGAAAACAAUGAAAUAAAGAGUCAUUAUACUAAAUGAAGUAGUAAGAAGACCAACUGAAAAAUAAAGAAGUCUAGCUGACAACUAAAUAAGUCUAACUGAAAACUAAAUAAGUCUAUCUGAAGCACUAUAUAGACUAGCUAACACUAGUACAGAAAAGGCAAUUUGCGUCGGCAUGUGAGGCGCCUAUUUGCGUCGGACUCUGGUGCGACGCCAAAGCCCUCGACGCAAAUGACUCAAAACGAUCUGCGUCGUAUGUGGAAACGACGCAGAUGGUUCAGAUAUUUGCGUCGCACUCGUAUAGGUGCGACGCAGAUGGCUAUCCCAGCCCACAUUACAGAGGUAAUGUGCGUCGCACAUUGCCUUUGGUGCGACGCACAUUAGUGAUUUGCGUCGCACUUCGGGCUAUGUGCGACGCAAAUUACUAUUUUAAUAAAAAAAAAAUUUUUUUUUUUAGACUUAGAAUAAUGAUUCUCGAACAGUAGAAGUAGAUUAUUGAGAGACAAAUUACCAACUGAAAUCAAAGAAGGAUUGAACACAACAAAAUAUAUACCAACAAAAUUCAAUAAUUUUAUAAUUUACAACUACAACACAAAACAUUAAACCACCAAAAUUCUAUAAUUUACAACUUGAACACAAAAUAAUAUAAAAAAUCAGAGAUCUACAAUUUCCUCUACUAGUGUUCGACGAAAACUUCCACUUCAAAAAUUUCCGACGAAACGACCAUC
Long non-coding RNA from Beta vulgaris subsp. vulgaris (sugar beet), 1542 nucleotides. RefSeq lists it as uncharacterized. The record is from RefSeq and is a predicted model, not a curated record. The transcript is spliced from 2 exons. Lineage: Eukaryota; Viridiplantae; Streptophyta; Magnoliopsida; Caryophyllales; Amaranthaceae.